GCCACGGGUAAUAGAUAACUUGGGGAGUGAGAAAUUGUUUGCCUCUUAGGCGGACCCUAACCACGAUUCCAACUUCCAUCCAGGAUGAUUUUUAAAACGAUUCCAGCACCGAGAUUCAAAUAAAAGUAUCCCCGGGUGCGAAGGAAAACAUUUGUUUAGGGAAGCAUUACAAACACGAUAGUGUGUGCCUUGGAGCCAGCGCCCAGAGGCCUGCUGAUGUCCUGGGGCAGAAAUAGCCUGUUUCAUCAUCAGCUCGGAGGACCGCAGCCUGCAUUCCUCGAGUAAGGAGCCGUACUCGGCUGUGCUUUUGGAGCAAAAUAACAUGGCCAGCUGCAGGCUGGGGGAAGGCCAGGCUGAGGUUUCAGAGGGAGAGUUGCAGAAGGAUAUGAAAUAAUCAGGGAAGAGGCAAGUCCAGGAGCUGUGAGCUGCGUGGAAAGAAUGUGAAUGAAGACACAAUUCUAAAUGUAGAAUCGCGGACGCUAUGUGAGCUGGCUCCCUCAUCGUCCAGAAAAACAAGACCCGCUUGUACGUUCUGCAAGAGCAUAAAUAAAGCUGUCCUCAGGUGGCGUGCUACGGUGUCCCCUCCUUGCGGUGACUUCACUGGCCCCGACUCUCCACAGAACCUCUGGAAAGUUGUGGGAGCAGCCCAGCUGCCUGACAGCGUGGGUGAAAAUGGUCUUGCUCUUGUCUGGACAAGCGCGAUGCUCGCUAACUUAAUUUUGCAGCAGAUCUGCUCUGUUUUGCAUCCAUAUUAAUUAGAAACAUUCCAAAGCUGAUAAGGAGGGCAAGGUAGAAUAGGUCAUUCAGGCCAGUUUCCAGUUCUGUUUGAAGUUCACUUCCCUGCAAAUAACAUGAGGCAACUCCCUUGAUUCUUUCACUCUUGCAACAUUGUUAUAUUGAAAUGCUUGUCAGAGGUCCCUUCACUAGUGCUUGACCUUUAGAAGUCGCUUCCAUAAGGGUCUUCAGGAGAUUGGUGCAUUUCCCAGGCUUAAUAAUACCAAUAACAAUAAAAUAGUAAUGCUGGUGGACA
RNAcentral lists this long non-coding RNA (1030 nucleotides) under Sus scrofa (pig). Its description in RNAcentral is "lncRNA (ENSSSCG00070023952.1)". Lineage: Eukaryota; Metazoa; Chordata; Mammalia; Artiodactyla; Suidae. The record is from RNAcentral.